GAUGAACGCUAGCUACAGGCUUAACACAUGCAAGUCGAGGGGUAACGAGAGGAAAGCUUGCUUUCCUUGUUGACGACCGGCGCACGGGCGAGUAACGCGUAUCCAACCUGCCCCCAACUAGGGAAUAACCUUGCGAAAGUAAGACUAAUACCCUAUAAUUUCCUCAGAUGUCAUCUGACGAGGAAUAAAGAUUUAUCGGUUGUGGAUGGGGACGCGUCUGAUUAGCUUGUUGGCGGGGUAACGGCCCACCAAGGCAACGAUCAGUAGGGGUUCUGAGAGGAAGGUCCCCCACAUUGGAACUGAGACACGGUCCAAACUCCUACGGGAGGCAGCAGUGAGGAAUAUUGGUCAAUGGGCGGAAGCCUGAACCAGCCAAGUAGCGUGCAGGAUGACGGCCCUAUGGGUUGUAAACUGCUUUUAUACAGGAAUAAAGUUAGCCACGUGUGGUUAUUUGUAGGUACUGUAUGAAUAAGGACCGGCUAAUUCCGUGCCAGCCGCCGCCGUAA
This 506-nucleotide ribosomal RNA is filed under the name uncultured bacterium. RNAcentral describes it as "partial 16S ribosomal RNA". It matches the Rfam family "Bacterial small subunit ribosomal RNA", at positions 28 to 523 of the family's 1533-position model. The record is from RNAcentral.